CCCGUUAGGCGGGCUCUUCCUCCUCUCUGCAUCCCCGUUAGCUGGAGCCUUGGGAGGGGAGACCAGUGUCUCCCUGACCUGGCCUUGCUCCUCCUCAGUAAUUGUGCUCUGUCACCUCCCCUUCAUGAAUCUCUGCAGCUCACGCCACAGUGGCCUUGGCCUGGCCCCUCCACGUCACUGGGCAGCCGGGCUUCCGGGGCUGGGGGAGGGCUGGCACUAGUUGCCCUGUUCACCAGGCGGGUGGCAGGGUGGCGUGCUCUGCAGCCGGCUGGGUCAGGGAGGAGCCGGAGCCUCCCCCAGUGAAGUGGGCCGGGAGGGCGCCCUUGAGCUGCUGCUGGCCUCCGCAGCCCUCCCCCUGGGUGGGGGCUGACACCCAGCCCCAGCCGGCCGUUUCCCUGCCGGGAGCAUCCUCCUGGCCUGGCAGCUGUCCCUCCCCGCACAGAGGAACUGGCAGCCACAGUUGCUGAUCCUAGUUGGGUGCCCUCGCUGACUCCCAGGGUCCUUGGCUGUGAGAUGGUGCCAGAAUGGGCCCCUCUGCGCCUGCUGGGCACAUGGGGUGACGUUUCCUGGAAAUGCCUUGGCUGUAGCCUGGCACAGGCAAAGAAGAACCUGUGGCUUCUGUGUGAUGUUCCCCUGCCUGCCCGUACCUCGUGGCCCUCCACACAGUCCCGCGGAGUUCCGAGUGGUCCAAAACAGACACACGGAUCCUUCCUCUUGUCUAAAUG
RNAcentral lists this long non-coding RNA (725 nucleotides) under Homo sapiens (human). RNAcentral's name for it is "non-protein coding lnc-KLF16-1:1". The record is from RNAcentral. Lineage: Eukaryota; Metazoa; Chordata; Mammalia; Primates; Hominidae.